Lactuca sativa (garden lettuce) is the source of this 1325-nucleotide long non-coding RNA. RefSeq lists it as uncharacterized. The record is from RefSeq and is a predicted model, not a curated record. NCBI's taxonomy places the organism in Eukaryota, Viridiplantae, Streptophyta, Magnoliopsida, Asterales, Asteraceae.
CCGGGCUAUCCGGGCCACAAUGUGUAUUCUAUUGAGCGGGGCUUGCGGUGUGAGAUCGUUAAGUGAUUUAUUUUGUCUUGUAAAAUUGGCCCAAUUUAUUGCUGCCGAGAUGACUCAAUCGUGAAAACCAAGGAAGCCCAAACUAAGUGCAGCCCAUCAGCUCAAUAAAAUGAUUGGCUAAGUCCAAAAUAAAAUUUAUGGGGCCCGGUAGAAUUGUUGUAGCCCAUUUGGAGCCCAGUUUCUUUCUUUUUUUCUUUUUACGUGUAUAAACCCUCACGCUUUGAUGAGGAGGUGAUAAAAGGAAACGAUCGCAGAUUGUGGCUCUUGUCGUAGGCGCUGCCAUGUCUAGUCGAAAGUUGUGGAAGAUCGCCUACAAGAGUGGUCUGACGGUGGUUAUGACCAGUGGCUGCAAUCGAUCUGCUUAUUCUGAUGACAACCAAAGUUGGAGCUGUUGUUGGUCUGUGAAGAGCAGUGAAGGAGUGGUAGUGUUGGGCUGCUUCGGUACUCGGAUCGACCAGCGAUGUUGUUGCUUUAUUUACCGGCGACGAACAGGAAACAAGUGGUCCGACAUACGCUACUUCGUCGGAGCUGGACGUUCUUCGUCACCUGUGCUGAAGGUGGGUGGUGGAGUUGGAUGUUCCAGAUAGUCUUCUCGAUGAGUUGGGACCGACCGGUAAUGGUUCCGGCGACCUGCUACCGGAGGGGUUAAACGGGGUUUGGAGUAAAUUGAUUUCCAAAAACUUCCUGGUGAAGAAGAUGAUUCAGCUUUUGUCGACCGGUAAUGACAAAUUGUUGCCGACGGGGAACGAGGGCAAUUGCUCGGUGGUUCUAUGGGCGUCACCGGCUGCCUAAUUGUGGCGGCGAUAUGUUGUUCGGCGGUCGUUGACUGCUCUCAAAAUGGUCAUGGACCAGGUGGGUUGCCGAUUCUUGGCGUUGGUGAUCGAUUGGUAAACAAACUGUGGUGGUUUGCUCUGCUCGUCGGAGUUGGAACGAGUGGUGAACGGAUUCCAUUGUUUGAUGGUCAGAGGUGAUCGACGGUAGUGGUGUUUGGUGACCAUGUGGACCCACCUUUUGACUUUGCUGGUGCGUGUUCAAUAUAGAAAAAGUAUGAGCUGUAAAUGUUUUUCUCUCUGUCUACACACUAGCUUUUGUCUACAUUGUUUUUCUGAAAUCCAUUAAUUAAAAUGGUAAACCAUAGGGUAAAAGUAAUUAACCCUUUGUAGUGUACAAGAGUUACAGCAUAGCAUAAAUAGCGUUGUAUAUUUAGACUUAUUACUGAAAUGAUUUUUUGACGAUAUAUAAACUGAAAGACAGACUCAUCAAAA